Molecule: long non-coding RNA, 328 nt
Filed under: Bos taurus (domestic cattle)
Lineage: Eukaryota; Metazoa; Chordata; Mammalia; Artiodactyla; Bovidae
Description: long non-coding RNA NONBTAT031629
Source: RNAcentral
GUGGCAAUACAAAGAUGUGAAUAGAUGAAUAAGAUUCUCAACCUUGGUCACAGUAGUUUUAACGUCAUCAUCAAAUUAAUGUGAUUAGGAGCAGUCUUCUCUAGGAAGAUUGGCUUAUCAGGUUUGCUAAUCUACAGAAAGUCAAGUCUCAAGUUACUGUACUUACUCUCCUUUGAGAUACUUUUUAAUUGAAGUCACUUGGCUAACCUGAUGAUUCAUACUUCUUUUAGUAACGAGAUUGAUGAUCAUCAAUUUAGUUAAUGACAUUUUUAUAGCAAGAAUGUGGAAAUUGUGUUGCUUAAUAUUUAUCACUAAAAAUUAAUUUAAA